GAAGCGGCAACAGCUCAAAUUUGAAAUCUGACCCUUUGGGGUCCGAGUUGUAAUUUGCAGAGGGUGUUUCGGGCACGGUGCCGGUUUAAGUCCUUUGGAACAGGGUGUCAUAGAGGGUGAGAACCCCGUAUGUGACCGGUCGCCAAACCCAUGUGAAACCCCUUCGACGAGUCGAGUUGUUUGGGAAUGCAGCUCAAAAUGGGUGGUAAAUUUCAUCUAAAGCUAAAUAUUGGCCAGAGACCGAUAGCGCACAAGUAGAGUGAUCGAAAGAUGAAAAGCACUUUGGAAAGAGAGUCAAACAGCACGUGAAAUUGUUGAAAGGGAAGCGCUUGCGACCAGACUUGCUCGCGGGUGAUCAGCGGUGCUUUUCGCGCCGUGCACUCAUCCGCGAUCAGGCCAGCAUCGGUUCAGGCGGCCGGACAAAGACUCGGAGAAUGUAGCUCCCUCCGGGGAGUGUUAUAUCUCCUUGUGCAAUACGACCAGCCGGGACCGAGGACCGCGCU
This 503-nucleotide ribosomal RNA is filed under the name Psora decipiens. Its description in RNAcentral is "LSU rRNA". It matches the Rfam family "Eukaryotic large subunit ribosomal RNA", at positions 95 to 601 of the family's 3401-position model. Lineage: Eukaryota; Fungi; Ascomycota; Lecanoromycetes; Lecanorales; Psoraceae. The record is from RNAcentral.